This 327-nucleotide ribosomal RNA is filed under the name Carnobacterium maltaromaticum. Its description in RNAcentral is "bacterial SSU rRNA". It matches the Rfam family "Bacterial small subunit ribosomal RNA", at positions 1 to 318 of the family's 1533-position model. The record is from RNAcentral. Lineage: Bacteria; Bacillati; Bacillota; Bacilli; Lactobacillales; Carnobacteriaceae.
UAGAGUUUGAUCNUGGCUCAGGACGAACGCUGGCGGCGUGCCUAAUACAUGCAAGUCGAACGCACGAAGUUGAAGAGCUUGCUCUUUAACCAAGUGAGUGGCGGACGGGUGAGUAACACGUGGGUAACCUGCCCAUUAGAGGGGGAUAACAUUCGGAAACGGAUGCUAAUACCGCAUAGUUUCAGGAAUCGCAUGAUUCUUGAAGGAAAGGUGGCUUCGGCUANCACUAAUGGAUGGACCCGCGGCGUAUUAGCUAGUUGGUGAGGUAAUGGCUCACCAAGGCAAUGAUACGUAGCCGACCUGAGAGGGUGAUCGGCCACACUGGAC